GAUUCUAGUGCAUGCGAGGAAAGGCUACCGAAGAGCAAUUUCAAUUUGAUCCCGAAAUUAAAAGAACGUUUCGAAAGCUCAAUAGCAAAACACGAAGAAGAAGAAAACUAGACGAAGAGAGGAAACGGAGAUAAGAAGCAUCUACUUCUUCACUUGUUCAAAUUGAGGAAGUAGGUGUAUAACCUUGUGAAGGAAACAUGGCGAAUGAAGCUCCUACCGAAAUGUCCGCGAAUAGUCCAAGGAGGAAUGCCC
RNAcentral lists this long non-coding RNA (252 nucleotides) under Lathyrus oleraceus (garden pea). RNAcentral describes it as "Pisum sativum (pea) long non-coding RNA (PSAT_LNC040043)". The record is from RNAcentral. Lineage: Eukaryota; Viridiplantae; Streptophyta; Magnoliopsida; Fabales; Fabaceae.